AUUGAACGCUGGCGGCAUGCCUUACACAUGCAAGUCGAACGGCAGCACGGGAGCAAUCCUGGUGGCGAGUGGCGAACGGGUGAGUAAAGUAUCGGAACGUGCCCAGUCGUGGGGGAUAACGUAGCGAAAGUUACGCUAAUACCGCAUACGAUCUAUGGAUGAAAGCGGGGGAUCGCAAGACCUCGCGCGAUUGGAGCGGCCGAUAUCAGAUUAGGUAGUUGGUGGGGUAAAGGCUCACCAAGCCGACGAUCGGUAGCUGGCCUGAGAGGACGACCAGCCACACUGGGACUGAGACACGGCCCAGACUCCUACGGGAGGCAGCAGUGGGGAAUUUUGGACAAUGGGCGAAAGCCUGAUCCAGCCAUGCCGCGUGCAGGAUGAAGGCCUUCGGGUUGUAAACUGCUUUUGUACGGAACGAAAAGGUUUGGCCUAAUAAGCUGAGCUCAUGACGGUACCGUAAGAAUAAGCACCGGCUAACUACGUGCCAGCCGCCGCAGUAA
This 500-nucleotide ribosomal RNA is filed under the name uncultured bacterium. RNAcentral describes it as "partial 16S ribosomal RNA". It matches the Rfam family "Bacterial small subunit ribosomal RNA", at positions 30 to 523 of the family's 1533-position model. The record is from RNAcentral.